GGAUAACAUUUUUUGCUAUUUUCGGCUAAUAAUGCAAUGACAUGUAAAAUAACUUUUUCACAUGUUAUUGUGUUAUUAGCUGAGGAUAGCAAAAUAGUGCUAUCC
Molecule: microRNA precursor, 105 nt
Organism: Prunus persica (peach)
Lineage: Eukaryota; Viridiplantae; Streptophyta; Magnoliopsida; Rosales; Rosaceae
Rfam family: MIR6274 microRNA precursor family
Source: Rfam